GGAAUUUUGGACAAUGGGGGAAACCCUGAUCCAGCCAUGCCGCGUGCGGGAAGAAGGCCUUCGGGUUGUAAACCGCUUUUGGCAGGCACGAACCGGCACUCGCUAAUCCCGAGUGCUAAUGACGGUACCUGCAGACUACGCACCGGCUAACUACGUGCCAGCAGCCGCGGUAAUACGUAGGGUGCGAGCGUUAAUCGGAAUUACUGGGCGUAAAGCGUACGCAGGCGGCUGUGCAAGACAGGUGUGAAAUCCCCGGGCUCAACCUGGGAACUGCAUUUGGGACUGCACAGCUAGAGUCCGUAAGAGGGGGGUGGAAUUCCACGUGUAGCAGUGAAAUGCGUAGAGAUGUGGAGGAACACCGAUGGCGAAGGCAGCCCCCUGGGAUGAGACUGACGCUCAGGUACGAAAGCGUGGGGAGCAAAC
Molecule: ribosomal RNA, 423 nt
Filed under: uncultured bacterium
Lineage: Bacteria
Description: bacterial SSU rRNA
Rfam family: Bacterial small subunit ribosomal RNA
Source: RNAcentral